CACAGCUUCAUGACCCCAGCAAAAAAAUACAGGUGAAAGGACCCGCCUCUUACAUCCAGCAUCUCCUGCAAUCUGAAUGCUAAGAUGGGAAGUGCUCUUAGAGGAAACCCCAAACUCAAGGUCCCAGUGGUGCCAACACCCACAAACUACCUAAAAGGAGUUCGCAAAUCAGAGGUUUCCUCCUCAGGCCUGAACUCCCUCGUAUCAUGAAGCCAAAGAGAUUAUUGACUGCAUGCAGUGUGGAUAGUAUUCCUGAUCAUCUAGUCGGUCCUCCAGUGGGGCUCCUGACGCCCUCAGCUAUGGGCAGUAAACUGCGGAGACCCUCGGCUCUUCCCACUCCAGUCCACCGCCCGGAUCUCUGGCAUCCCUGCACUCACACCCAG
This is a long non-coding RNA of Cyprinus carpio (common carp), 383 nucleotides long. RefSeq lists it as uncharacterized. The record is from RefSeq and is a predicted model, not a curated record. The transcript is spliced from 3 exons. Lineage: Eukaryota; Metazoa; Chordata; Actinopteri; Cypriniformes; Cyprinidae.